UUGAAGAUAUUAAAUUAUGAGGAGUGUAAAGAAAGAUUUAUUUUAACAUUUUAACGUAAAAUAAGUAUCUCUGACUAAUAUAUUUUGCGGGAUACGGGCUCAUACGGCAUCAGUCACAUCAAAGAGUUUAAACCAUGUACACUUCCCUCACCUUCGCAAGAAAAUACAAGACACGAGAUCAAAGAAAAUAUAAACCGACUGGUUCAGAGCAAAUUACGUAUAUAUUCUUGUUUGAGGCUACAGUGUUUAUCUGUGAUCACGUUUAUUUAAUACGAACGAUUAAACGAUUGUAUUUUCUCGCAAGUUUUCUUAGAGCCCAUUUUUCCAAGCAAAUAGGUCUGAAUCCCGAGUGUAGAAUGAUACAGCAGUAACAGCACGGUGGCUGUGGUACAUCUUCUUAAACCAAGUUAUCCUUCAGAACUUCCCCACAUUUACAAGAUUCCAUCUCCUGACAGCACCAAGCUUCGUGUGUAUAUGUAUUAUCACACAAUUGCCGCAUUUACACUUGCGAAAUAUGAUACAGGUGAGGAAAGUGAUAUGACUGAUGCCGUAUCAAAAAUAUAUCAACCAGAGAUACUUAUUUUACGUUAAAAUGUUAAAUAAAUCUAUGUUUACGCUCACCAUGAUUUAAUAUCUUUAAGACCGUCUAAUCUUCGUUCUAGCAUCUCGUUUUGUUCCUGGUGUUGCGCAUGGUUUUAGAUGUUGCGCGUAGCAUUCUUGGCUUGCUAGCGGCUCCACCGGCAUAAAGGCAAUAUGCAUCAUAAUCGCCUAAAAUUUCGCUAUCAACUGCUUCUCGAGUUCCAAUUUCGUGACUGGUAUCAUUUGAUUCAUCCUGUAUAUAUACCCAGGAAUAUAAUUGUAUUCUGAGUCACAUUGAGAACCAUGAGUGCUGGAAAAUAUAUGUUUUCCCAAUAGCUUUUUAGUACUCCUUCACAUGUGAAUUCGAACUUCCGUCCCUUAAGCUACGUCACACGGCUCUCGCCCCAGACCCUUUUCCGGUUUUUUCUCGGGCGCGACAAUUUUUCGCUAAAAGCCAAUUUUUCAAGGUUUAGAACCUCAUAUCUCGCGAAUGAAAAGAGAAAACCGAAAAAUGUUAAAGAACCUAUUAACUAACUUUUUGUCCUCUACCAAAUAUCAAAAAAAAGUUUUUGUGACAUAAGCACUUUAAAGCGUAUUUAUUAUACGCCAUAAUAAAUUUUCAAAAUGAAGUUCCCGGAUGUAAAGUGUGAUCACG
Paramuricea clavata is the source of this 1234-nucleotide non-coding RNA. The record is from the annotation of a GenBank genome assembly. NCBI's taxonomy places the organism in Eukaryota, Metazoa, Cnidaria, Anthozoa, Malacalcyonacea, Plexauridae.